Molecule: ribosomal RNA, 252 nt
Filed under: uncultured bacterium
Lineage: Bacteria
Description: partial 16S ribosomal RNA
Rfam family: Bacterial small subunit ribosomal RNA
Source: RNAcentral
UACGGAGGGGCUAGCGUUGUUCGGAAUUACUGGGCGUAAAGCGCACGUAGGCGGAUUGGAAAGUCAGAGGUGAAAUCCCAGGGCUCAACCUUGGAACUGCCUUUGAAACUCCCAGUCUGGAGGUCGAGAGAGGUGAGUGGAAUUCCGAGUGUAGAGGUGAAAUUCGUAGAUAUUCGGAGGAACACCAGUGGCGAAGGCGGCUCACUGGCUCGAUACUGACGCUGAGGUGCGAAAGCGUGGGGAGCAAACAGG